CCUGUGGUCUUCAGCCUUCCCACUGCUUUUAAUGCCGCAGGAGCGGCCCACGUCUCAGAUGAUUGUCCUGGCACUGGCAGAUGACCUAAGAAGGCAAUAAACAGAUAAAGAAGAGAGACUUGGAAAUUCCUUGGCAUCACUUCUUCUGGAACUCUUGAUGGUAAAAUGACCACAUGCCAGAAAUUACACUGCAACUCUACUCCAGAAAAUCUGUGUGGCAUCUAAUUUUGGCGGAUUAACUGAGUCUUACUAUCCCAUACUUCAUGUGAGGGCUGUGCAAGGGAAGGGUAUACUCAUGGAAUUGUAGAAUGACAGCUGGAGAAACUGUACACUUUUUUUCUAUGUACAGUGUAUAUGCAUUUUUCUAAAACCUAAGUUCCGUGAGAGUACAGAGUGUUGUUCACAGCUCUCUCCUCAGCACCUAGCCCAGGGUGUGGCAGGUAGUAGGCACUCAUCAAAUUUCUGAUUAUGAAUGAAAAUUAAUGCAAAUCAGAUUCUUAGAAGAGUUCAGAUCUCAUGCAACAUCCUCAUUUCUGAUUCAUUUUCAGUAGCCAGAAAUGUUAGUAGGCUAACACUUCAGUUUCUCUGCUAAAUAAUUGAUGAACUAAAAAGGACUAAAAAUAUCAAGAGAAUUCACCUGUAAGGAGGAGCUCUGCACGCCUUCCAUUGUCGGCAUUAAGGAUAGCCCUUCAACUUACCUGCUUUGUAAAUGCAGGCAUUUUUAACAUUGAGUUUUCUUAAACUUCUGUCUCUGCCUCCCCAUUCUCCCUGCUGGGCACCUCCCCACCCCCUACCCCUGCCAGGUGCGUGCACAGGAACACACACACACAAGUGGCAGAGGGUCUCAUCUCUCUUUGCCACUAGCCUGGCACCUAUGGAAACAAACAAGGUCCUGUGCAGCCACCUAGUGGUGUCUCCUCACCCCUGCAGUUCCACAUGGCUUCUAAAGGAAAUAACAGAGGGCACUGGGAGGCACUGAGAUACUUUGAAGACGGCCCACUUCCUCAAGGCAUCUGGGACCUCACCCAGAGGGUCUCCAACCUUCACAGGUCCCAGGGUGCUGAGCCUAAGAAGGAGAUGGAAGUAAAAGACCAGCACGAUCAGACACACACCAUUAGAAAUACCUUUCUUCUCAUUUCAUACUCCACCCUGCAGUACCACUGUGAGUGCUACCAUCCCGAGAGCACCUUGCCUUUGUGGAUUUGACCAGUUUUCACCUGAGUAGUAAUGUAUCUUACGUCCACUGGAACCUUCCUUUACCCACGGACAGCUCUGUGUAAGCCUUUCUCGUCUGCCUACUACUUCUGCCUAUAAAUUAUUAGGUUUCUCCAUUUAAAAUAAACGGAAUUUCCCUCAAGCUUACGAUCCAUACUCAUCCACACCCACACUCCUCGCCAGUGUCUCCAAAGAGCAGUUUAUUUUGACCACUCUGUUCUGACCCCAUUCCCAUCUGGCUUCUGUCCUAAGCAUGGUGGAAAUUGCCUUUUUGGAGGUUGCUCAUGACUUUCUACUUGCCAAAUCCAAA
This 1525-nucleotide long non-coding RNA is filed under the name Macaca mulatta (Rhesus monkey). RNAcentral's name for it is "lncRNA (ENSMMUG00000054836.1)". Lineage: Eukaryota; Metazoa; Chordata; Mammalia; Primates; Cercopithecidae. The record is from RNAcentral.